RNAcentral lists this long non-coding RNA (327 nucleotides) under Musa acuminata (dwarf banana). RNAcentral describes it as "long non-coding RNA (MACU_LNC002572)". Lineage: Eukaryota; Viridiplantae; Streptophyta; Magnoliopsida; Zingiberales; Musaceae. The record is from RNAcentral.
CUGCCUCCCCUCCCCAUCUCAAACCCACCUGCCGCCUCCGCCGCCCCCGUCGCCCCCUCCUCCGCCGCCCCCGUCGCCACUCCCGCCUUCCGCCUCUUCCUCUCCCGCCUCUCGGACUCCGUCGGCCGCUCCCUCUCCAACCGCCGCCCCUGGUCGGAACUCGCCGACCGAUCUGCCUUCUCCCGUCCGGAUUCCCUCUCCGACGCCUCCUACCGCCUGCGCAAGAACCUCACCUACUUCCGCGUCAACUACGCCGCUGUCGUCGCCGCCGUCCUCGCCAUCUCCCUCAUCACCAACCCCUUCUCUCUCGUCGUUCUCCUCGCCCUC